UACGAAGGUCCCGAGCGUUAUCCGGAUUUAUUGGGUUUAAAGGGUGCGUAGGCGGGUUAUUAAGUCAGUGGUGAAAGCCUACAGCUUAACUGUAGAAUUGCCAUUGAUACUGAUGACCUUGAGUAUGAUUGAGGUUGGCGGAAUGUGUCAUGUAGCGGUGAAAUGCUUAGAUAUCGGAAGGAACAUCAGUGGCGAAAGCGACUUCCUGGACCAAUACUGACGCUCAUGUGCGAAAGCGUGGGGAGCAAACAGG
This 253-nucleotide ribosomal RNA is filed under the name uncultured bacterium. Its description in RNAcentral is "partial 16S ribosomal RNA". It matches the Rfam family "Bacterial small subunit ribosomal RNA", at positions 524 to 776 of the family's 1533-position model. The record is from RNAcentral.